Molecule: ribosomal RNA, 488 nt
Filed under: uncultured bacterium
Lineage: Bacteria
Description: partial 16S ribosomal RNA
Rfam family: Bacterial small subunit ribosomal RNA
Source: RNAcentral
AUUGAACGCUGGCGGCAGGCCUAACACAUGCAAGUCGAGCGGGGUUUUCGGACCUAGCGGCGGACGGGUGAGUAAUGCGUAGGAAGCUGCCCGAUAGAGGGGGAUACCAGUUGGAAACGACUGUUAAUACCGCAUAAUGUCUACGGACCAAAGUGUGGGACCUUCGGGCCACAUGCUAUCGGAUGCGCCUACGUGGGAUUAGCUAGUUGGUGAGGUAAUGGCUCACCAAGGCGACGAUCUCUAGCUGGUUUAAGAGGAUGAUCAGCCACACUGGAACUGAGACACGGUCCAGACUCCUACGGGAGGCAGCAGUGGGGAAUAUUGGACAAUGGGCGCAAGCCUGAUCCAGCCAUGCCGCGUGUGUGAAGAAGGCCUUCGGGUUGUAAAGCACUUUCAGCGAGGAGGAAGGGUGGUGUGUUAAUAGCACAUCAUUUUGACGUUACUCGCAGAAGAAGCACCGGCUAACUCUGUGCCAGCCGCCGCCGUAA